This 464-nucleotide ribosomal RNA is filed under the name Vreelandella stevensii. RNAcentral describes it as "partial 16S ribosomal RNA". It matches the Rfam family "Bacterial small subunit ribosomal RNA", at positions 338 to 795 of the family's 1533-position model. The record is from RNAcentral. Lineage: Bacteria; Pseudomonadati; Pseudomonadota; Gammaproteobacteria; Oceanospirillales; Halomonadaceae.
CCUACGGAGGCAGCAGUGGGGAAUAUUGGACAAUGGGCGAAAGCCUGAUCCAGCCAUGCCGCGUGUGUGAAGAAGGCCUUCGGGUUGUAAAGCACUUUCAGUGGGGAAGAAAGCCUUGGGGCUAAUACCCUCGAGGAAGGACAUCACCCACAGAAGAAGCACCGGCUAACUCCGUGCCAGCAGCCGCGGUAAUACGGAGGGUGCGAGCGUUAAUCGGAAUUACUGGGCGUAAAGCGCGCGUAGGCGGUCUGAUAAGCCGGUUGUGAAAGCCCCGGGCUCAACCUGGGAACGGCAUCCGGAACUGUCAGGCUAGAGUGCAGGAGAGGAAGGUAGAAUUCCCGGUGUAGCGGUGAAAUGCGUAGAGAUCGGGAGGAAUACCAGUGGCGAAGGCGGCCUUCUGGACUGACACUGACGCUGAGGUGCGAAAGCGUGGGUAGCAAACAGGAUUAGAUACCCCUGUAGUC